CCUACGGGGGGCUGCAGUCGGGAAUUUUGGGCAAUGGGGGAAACCCUGACCCAGCAACGCCGCGUGAAGGAUGAAGUAUUUCGGUAUGUAAACUUCGAAAGAAUAGGAAGAAUUAAUGACGGUACUAUUUAUAAGGUCCGGCUAACUACGUGCCAGCAGCCGCGGUAUUACGUAGGGACAGAGCGUUGUUCGGAUUUACUGGGCGGAAAGGGCGCGUAGGCGGCAUGGUAAGUCACUUGUGAAAUCUCCGAGCUUAACUUGGAACGGGCAAGUGAUACUGCUGAGCUAGAGUGCGGCAGAGGCAAUCGGAAUUCUUGGUGUAGCGGUGAAAUGCGUAGAUAUCUAGAGGAACACCGAAGGUGAAGACGGGUUGCUGGGCUGACACUGACGCUGAGGCGCGAAAGCUAGGGGAGCAAACGGGAUUAGAUACCCUUGUAGUC
RNAcentral lists this ribosomal RNA (440 nucleotides) under uncultured bacterium. Its description in RNAcentral is "partial 16S ribosomal RNA". It matches the Rfam family "Bacterial small subunit ribosomal RNA", at positions 338 to 795 of the family's 1533-position model. The record is from RNAcentral.